CUGAAUAAUGCUGAUGCAUUUGCCAAGAACGUAAUGGCGACGUAUCUUUCAAAUGUCUGCCUUAUCAACUUUCGACGGUAGUUUACACGGCUACCGUGGUUUUCACGGGUAACGGAGAAUUAGGGUUCGACUCCGGAGAGGGAGCCUGAGAAACGGCUACCACAUCCAAGGAAGGCAGCAGGCACGCAAAUUACCCACUCCCGGCACGGGGAGGUAGUGACGAAAAAUAGCGAGACGGUUCUCUAAGAGGCCCGUCAUCGAAAUGGGUACAAUUUAAAUCCUUUAACGAGGAUCUAUUGGAGGGCAAGUCUGGUGCCAGCAGCCGCGGUAAUUCCAGCUCCAAAAGCGUAUAUUAAAGUUGUUGCGGUUAAAAAG
RNAcentral lists this ribosomal RNA (375 nucleotides) under Nematoda sp. RNAcentral's name for it is "SSU rRNA". It matches the Rfam family "Eukaryotic small subunit ribosomal RNA", at positions 250 to 626 of the family's 1831-position model. Lineage: Eukaryota; Metazoa; Nematoda. The record is from RNAcentral.